GAAGAUCUGCUGGAGAAGAGAAUGGCAAACCACUCCAGUAUUUUUACCUGGAAAAUUCCAUGGACACAGGAGCCUGGUGGGGAAAGGUAAUUGGAAAGUCAAGGGUGGUUUGGCCAUAAAAAUCCACGGUGAAAUUCCAGCUCACUGCAAUUGUGAUACCAGCGCAGCUGAGGAAGAGCAACAGGGCAGACGCCUUGUAGCACAGUCGGAGGAAAUCAGGGUACGGGGCCUUGUUCCUGCUGACGAAUAGCGCCACUGUGCUAAAAAUCAGGGCCCCCGACAUCAUAAAAUUCGCCAGCAGCAUCAGGCCCUGCCCAUACGAGAUUUCGUCAGAAAUGACCCAGCUCGAGUUGAUCAUGGUGUACAUCGGUAACUCAACCAUUAUACCAGAUACGUUAAAUUUUUGCCGGUAGAAAGCUUCCCAGAGUCCAAUGAACACGACGGAAACGAUGUCGGUGUCAAACUCCCACACGCGCCAGGAUCUGCUGUGGGCCAGGAUUAAGCCGAGCACCCAGACCAGAUAAUUAAGUAAAACGCGAAUCGAUUUUAAGCAGUAAAUCAUUUUGGGUCGUCUGAAAACACACAGGUAGCCAGAGACGCUAGAACGACACCGCCCGGUUGCUGCCUGUCCGGCUUGGAUGGCUUACUGAAAGAUGGAUAGGACUCCGCACCUGUUGUUAAGGAAGGAGGAAAAUUGGGAGAGGAAGACUUUUUUUUUAUCCUGCCACCUAUGUGAAAUAAAAGAUAGUUCCACUAUUUGCAAUCUGAACAUGUGGACUACAAUCCAUAUCCACGUG
This 797-nucleotide long non-coding RNA is filed under the name Capra hircus (goat). Its description in RNAcentral is "lncRNA (ENSCHIG00000000856.1)". The record is from RNAcentral. Lineage: Eukaryota; Metazoa; Chordata; Mammalia; Artiodactyla; Bovidae.